Molecule: long non-coding RNA, 3023 nt
Organism: Passer domesticus (house sparrow)
Lineage: Eukaryota; Metazoa; Chordata; Aves; Passeriformes; Passeridae
Exons: 2
Source: RefSeq, a predicted model, not a curated record
GGAUGGGUUGAGGUUUUAAGUGGCUGGGGUGGUUUUUGUUUUUCCUUUGUGCUUAGUUUCUGACCUUGUACACUGGUAUCUGCUGGCAAAGAGAUGAGCACCUCACUGAUGAUGUAAAAGUGCCUUGGUCCUAAGCGAGAUUUUUCACAAAGCAGGAAAGGAUUCAUCACAUCUGCAGAAGAAAAGACUGCAGCACUUGCUGGAAGUUGCAAAAUUGUCCUGUGUUUUUAUUCAAGCCCACUUAAAAGAAGAAAACACAGACCUGCUCCUUUCUAACAGAUUCAGAGAUCCCUUAUGCCUGGAUUUAAGUAUCUGCUUUUUGGAAGAAGAGAUGUAGCCUUUGAAGGCUUUUUUAAUGUCUUAGAUCUAGUGUGAGCACUCUACAGUUUUUAGAAUGGUUGACCAAGUCGUUUAAAUUGCCACUAUCUAAAUUGCCAUUUGCCAGUUGAUGGAAGCCAGAAAUGACACUGUGCUGAGUGAAGUUGCUGGAAAGAUGCUUCACAGAAGUAACUGACUGUUUUCAGCUCUCCUGCUACUCCUCUGCAAUUUGCUGGUUUCAGUAUCAAAAGAAGUAUGAAGAUGCCAAGCCCAAUUUAUCUGCCUGUGUGACUCCAAAUACAUACAGCUGUCUGGUAUCUGACACUGGGACCUCAAAGCCAGCAGCUUAAAAAUGGCAGUGACAAAAUGAGUAUGUUGCAAGAGAAUAAUGGGCCUUAUAACUGACUUUGAGUUCCUUUACCUCUGCACUUUUCAAUAAGGACAAGGGAAUGCAUAAUAAGAAAUAUUGUUGAGUGGAGCUUUGUGCAGGAUGGAUUUAUUCUCUGUGCUGCUCCAUAAUUAACUCUCCAAAUGCAUGGAUUAUACUGAUUGGAAGUGGUCAGAGGUGUUUUCCUCCACCACAGAAUAAAGGACAAGCUAGAUCUAUGCAGUACCGCGUCUGAUACUUGCAAAUGUUCAAGAUGGUUAAAAGUAGAUUUUGUGCAAAAAAGGUGCUUUAUAGCAAGCUGACUGCACUAUUUAUCUGAACUUCCCUAUGCAGAUAAGGCUUGUGAUCCCUGAUUGCAGCUUCUGAAAGCCAACUGUGUUCAAACAAACGCACCGCAAAUCAGUUUGGGCUCAUCUGGCUGAUGUUGAUGGAGCUCUGUGUGGAGAAUUGAUAAGAUAUGUCAGUCUCUUAUCUCCCUGCUUUAUAUCUGAAAGAAACAUGUGGUGAGGAGUGCUUGCAUGGCUAUGGAGAGCAUUUGAUUCUCCCUGAUCCUUCACAGCAAGAGUAAAAGGGUGUAGAGGUGUUUCACACCCUCUCAGCUCUGCUGCCAAAAGCCCCCAAGAGGCCAUAAACAGGUGAACUGGCCUGAGACAGCCCUGGACACAGCACUGAGGUAGAAAUCUUGUGGAUUUUGUGUAUUUCUGGAUUUUUUUACGGGUUGGGACUCAUGUUUCAGACGAGUGUUCUGCACAGCAGUAAUAUUGCUGUGCCCCACAAUUACCUGAGGUUACUGACAAGUCAGUUAAGGAGUAUAAAUAUCACAUGACUUGGUUAUAUCACUCCAUCAACAGAGCAGAAGCUGAGAUCUGGAUCUGAAUGUAGGAACUGUCACGUCAAUGUUGGUUACACCACUGACUUGGAUGAAUUGCCACCUUUAUUAAGUGUAUGUGAUAUAUGGCCUGCGUGCAUGUAUAUGUUACUGAGGAGAAAGUGGAAAGAAUGAACUGUAUUUCCAUUGCAAUUAAUUUUUCAGGUAGGACUGAUAUUAUGUCCUGAAAUCUAGGAUCUAAAAAACAGUGACUAUUGCAUCAACAUUUAGAGGAACAGGUAAUUUUGCUGCUACAAGGAAAUCUAACCAUUGCAAUCAAGUCUCAAAACUAUACUGAACUAUGGACUAAAUAAUAUCUAUUCCCUAAUGAUGAAUUCAUUUUCAGUUAAUAACAAGUAUUUGUGAAGUAUAAUGAAAAAUACAGUGCCAUGCAUAGUAAACUGGCCUCUGUUUUCUUUGACAGCAUGCCAGUUUCUCAGCUGCAGCACUACUGUACUAUUCAUCUCCAUAAAGGGCUUUUUUGAAAGCAUUAUUAAACAGCAGGAAGGAAUGGUGUAUGACAGCUUCAUUAGUCACUAGGAACCAAACCUGGCCACUUUCUGCUGGGAAAUACUAGCACAAUUGAAAACAUCCCUGGGCUGAUGGCAUCCAAACAUUUUUUUCCCUCAAAUUUUUGGAGUAUGGCCAGACCUUGGUUUGAAGACCCUGGAAUGGCCGCUGUGCUAUUAAGUCCUCUUUAGGUGAAGUUUGUCUUUUUCUGUGAGGAAAACAUGGACUUCUCUGUCUUAAAGUCCAGAAAUAUUUGCAGGAGACUUUUUAAUUUGAGACACACAGACAAAGGAAGUUCUCUCCAAGUGCAGUGUGAUCUUGCUGAAACUGCAAAUGCCCCAGUACCAUAACUGCAAGCAAGCCCCUUUGUAACAGACACAAUGCUUGAUCAUUUUGGAUAUUCCUCUGCAGUGUUUGCUGAAGGUGCAUCCAGCUGGCAGGGUGCUCUGACAUGUUAAAGAUGCUCUCAGCUCCACUGAGAUCAGUAAAUGUGAGGUUCUGAGCUAACAGUAUUUCAGGUUCUAUUUGUUAGCCUGAGACUAACGGUAUUUAGAGUGAGACCCUUCUGCAUCUUGCUCGACAAAAGUCUAAGCUACAGGAUAAACUCAAGGAUAAAAAUCAAGUUCCUGCAUGAAUCUGUUGCACGAUUUAUUGUUCUUUUUAAAAUAUAACACGCAAUUUGUAAAGUGAAUUACCUGUCUAAGAAAAGUAAAAUCAGCAAAGCCUGCAAAAAUCCCGAUGAAUGCUUUAGCUAGCUUUGAUUCCAAGAAAACACCACCUAAAAGUCAGUUCUUUGUUCAGCAAAGCCUCAGUACCAGCGAAGUCCAGGAAACUGGUGGAAAUCAUAUUAAAAACAAUGUGCACAAAGAAGUAUUUUAUGGUCCAGCUGUUCUUAAUUUUCUGUAUAUUUGUAAAAAUAAAAUUAGCCCUUAAUACAUA